Molecule: ribosomal RNA, 253 nt
Filed under: uncultured Actinomycetes bacterium
Lineage: Bacteria; Bacillati; Actinomycetota; Actinomycetes
Also listed under: 1 other name
Description: partial 16S ribosomal RNA
Rfam family: Bacterial small subunit ribosomal RNA
Source: RNAcentral
UACGUAGGGUGCGAGCGUUGUCCGGAAUUAUUGGGCGUAAAGAGCUCGUAGGCGGCCUGUUGCGUCCGCUGUGAAAGCCCGGGGCUUAACCCCGGGUCUGCAGUGGAUACGGGCAGGCUAGAGUUCGGCAGGGGAGACUGGAAUUCCUGGUGUAGCGGUGAAAUGCGCAGAUAUCAGGAGGAACACCGGUGGCGAAGGCGGGUCUCUGGGCCGAUACUGACGCUGAGGAGCGAAAGCGUGGGGAGCGAACAGG